RNAcentral lists this ribosomal RNA (460 nucleotides) under uncultured bacterium. Its description in RNAcentral is "partial 16S ribosomal RNA". It matches the Rfam family "Bacterial small subunit ribosomal RNA", at positions 338 to 795 of the family's 1533-position model. The record is from RNAcentral.
CCUACGGGAGGCAGCAGUGAGGAAUAUUGGUCAAUGGGCGCGAGCCUGAACCAGCCAAGUAGCGUGAAGGAUGACUGCCCUACGGGUUGUAAACUUCUUUUAUAAAGGAAUAAAGUGCGGCACGUGUGCCUUUUUGUAUGUACUUUAUGAAUAAGGAUCGGCUAACUCCGUGCCAGCAGCCGCGGUAAUACGGAGGAUCCGAGCGUUAUCCGGAUUUAUUGGGUUUAAAGGGAGCGUAGAUGGGUUGUUAAGUCAGUUGGGAAAGUUUGCGGCUCAACCGUAAAAUUGCAAUUGAUACUGGCAGGCUUGAGAACAGAUGAGGUAGGCGGAAUAAGUGGGGUAGCGGUGAAAUGCUUAGAUAUAACGAAGAACUCCGAUAGCGAAGGCAGCUUACUAAACUGAGACUGACAUUGAUGCUCGAAAGUGUGGGUAGCAAACAGGAUUAGAUACCCCGGUAGUC